AUUGAACGCUGGCGGCAGGCCUAACACAUGCAAGUCGAGCGGAUGGAGGGAGCUUGCUCCUGGAUUCAGCGGCGGACGGGUGAGUAAUGCCUAGGAAUCUGCCUGGUAGUGGGGGAUAACGUCCGGAAACGGGCGCUAAUACCGCAUACGUCCUGAGGGAGAAAGUGGGGGAUCUUCGGACCUCACGCUAUCAGAUGAGCCUAGGUCGGAUUAGCUAGUUGGUGGGGUAAAGGCCUACCAAGGCGACGAUCCGUAACUGGUCUGAGAGGAUGAUCAGUCAAACUGGAACUGGGAAACGGUCCAGGCUCCUAACGGGAGCAGGCGUGGGGAAUUUUGGAACAUUGGCCGAAGGCUGAUCCCAGCCAGGCGGGUGGUGGGAAGAAGUUUUCGGGAUGUUAAACACUUUUAGUUGGGAAGAAAGGGCGGAAAUUUAAUACUUGGUGGUUUGGACUUACCAAACAGAAUAGCACCGGCUAACUUCGUG
RNAcentral lists this ribosomal RNA (484 nucleotides) under uncultured bacterium. RNAcentral's name for it is "partial 16S ribosomal RNA". It matches the Rfam family "Bacterial small subunit ribosomal RNA", at positions 30 to 507 of the family's 1533-position model. The record is from RNAcentral.